UGGGGAAUAUUGCACAAUGGGCGCAAGCCUGAUGCAGCCAUGCCGCGUGUGUGAAGAAGGCCUUCGGGUUGUAAAGCACUUUCAGCGAGGAGGAAGGUGGUGGACUUAAUACGUUCAUCAAUUGACGUUACUCGCAGAAGAAGCACCGGCUAACUCCGUGCCAGCAGCCGCGGUAAUACGGAGGGUGCAAGCGUUAAUCGGAAUUACUGGGCGUAAAGCGCACGCAGGCGGUUUGUUAAGUCAGAUGUGAAAUCCCCGGGCUCAACCUGGGAACUGCAUUUGAAACUGGCAAGCUAGAGUCUCGUAGAGGGGGGUAGAAUUCCAGGUGUAGCGGUGAAAUGCGUAGAGAUCUGGAGGAAUACCGGUGGCGAAGGCGGCCCCCUGGACGAAGACUGACGCUCAGGUGCGAAAAGCGUGGGGAGCAAAACAGGAUUAGAUACCCUGGUAGUCCACGCUGUAAAACGAUGUCGAUUUUGGAGGUUGUGCCCUUGAGGCGUGGCUUCCGGAGCUAACGCGUUAAAUCGACCGCCUGGGGAGUACGGCC
This 544-nucleotide ribosomal RNA is filed under the name uncultured bacterium. Its description in RNAcentral is "partial 16S ribosomal RNA". It matches the Rfam family "Bacterial small subunit ribosomal RNA", at positions 355 to 887 of the family's 1533-position model. The record is from RNAcentral.